This 76-nucleotide transfer RNA is filed under the name Camelus bactrianus (Bactrian camel). It matches the Rfam family "tRNA". From Rfam's summary of the family: Transfer RNA (tRNA) molecules are approximately 80 nucleotides in length. Their secondary structure includes four short double-helical elements and three loops (D, anti-codon, and T loops). RNAcentral also lists the same sequence under 1 other name. Lineage: Eukaryota; Metazoa; Chordata; Mammalia; Artiodactyla; Camelidae. The record is from Rfam by way of RNAcentral.
AUAGGUAUAGCUCAGUGGUAGAGCACAUGCUUAAUUAACAUGGACGAGGUCCUAGGUUCAACCCCCAGUACCUUCA